GCCUAGCCAUAAACUUUGAUUAUCCGCCAGAGUACUACGAGCUACAGCUUAAAACUCAAAGGACUUGGCGGUGCUUUAUACCCCCCUAGAGGAGCCUGUUCUAUAAUCGAUAAUCCCCGAUAAACCUCACCACCUAUUGCCAAUACAGCCUAUAUACCACCGUCUAGCCCGCCCUUCAAAGGGUAAACAGCAGGCAUAAUUAUAAACAUUAAAACGUCAGGUCAAGGUGUAGCAGAUAAGGUGGAAAGAAAUGGGCUACAUUUUCUAACUUAGAAAACACGGACGAUUCUAUGAAAUAGUCUCUGAAGGAGGAUUUAGCAGUAAAAAGAAAUUAGAGUGUUCUUUUUAAGACGGCAAUAAAGCGCGC
Molecule: ribosomal RNA, 367 nt
Filed under: Salamandra infraimmaculata orientalis
Lineage: Eukaryota; Metazoa; Chordata; Amphibia; Caudata; Salamandridae
Description: partial 12S ribosomal RNA
Rfam family: Bacterial small subunit ribosomal RNA
Source: RNAcentral